CCUACGGGGGGCUGCAGCCGAGAAUAUUCGACAAUGGACGAAAGUCUGAUCGAGCGACACCGCGUGAUGGAUGAAGUCCUCUGGGACGUAAACAUCUUUUAUGAGGGAGAUAGUACCUCAAGAAUAAGGGGUUGCUAAACUCGUGCCAGCAGCAGCGGUAAUACGAGUGCCCCGAGCGUUAUCCGGAAUCAUUGGGCGUAAAGGGUGUGUAGGUGGCAGUGUUAGUCGAUUGUUAAAACCCAGGGCUUAACCCUGGAAGUGCGAUCGAAACGGCACAGCUAGAGGAUGCGAGGGAUGUAUGGAACUCAUGGAGUAGGGGUGAAAUCCGUUGAUAUCAUGGGGAACACCAAAAGCGAAAGCAGUACAUUGGCGCACCCUGACACUGAAACACGAAAGCGUGGGUAGCGAAUGGGAUUAGAUACCCUUGUAGUC
Molecule: ribosomal RNA, 432 nt
Filed under: uncultured bacterium
Lineage: Bacteria
Description: partial 16S ribosomal RNA
Rfam family: Bacterial small subunit ribosomal RNA
Source: RNAcentral